ACAAAUUCUCUUGAUUGGUCUAUUUUUCAUCCAACCGAAAAUAAAUGCUGAGGACAAAUAGAGACCACUAGCUGUAGAUAAUAGGAAUAUGUACGACGUAUUUAGCUUCUUCACUAUUUUCCUUAAUGCGAGUAUCGGACUCUUUACCUUUCUCAGGCGUAUUUUAGUCGGUGCAUUUUUGGGCGUAUUUCUGAUUCCUAGGAUGGACCGAAGUCUGCUAAUGCGAGGAUAUGAGGCUAAAGAUAAAUGUUAUGUAAACUACAUAGGAAUGAUUAUGGUUUUGAUGUGGCACACAAUCACCCUGUGAUGCGCGUGUUUUGUUUCCUUGU
Ruditapes philippinarum (Manila clam) is the source of this 329-nucleotide long non-coding RNA. RefSeq lists it as uncharacterized. The transcript has 3 exons. Lineage: Eukaryota; Metazoa; Mollusca; Bivalvia; Venerida; Veneridae. The record is from RefSeq and is a predicted model, not a curated record.